GGGAAUGUGGGUUAGUGGUAGACUGCUUGCCUAGCAUGCAUGAAGCCCUGGGUUCGAUUCCUCAGUACCA
Dipodomys ordii (Ord's kangaroo rat) is the source of this 70-nucleotide non-coding RNA. The record is from Rfam. NCBI's taxonomy places the organism in Eukaryota, Metazoa, Chordata, Mammalia, Rodentia, Heteromyidae.